RNAcentral lists this ribosomal RNA (253 nucleotides) under uncultured bacterium. RNAcentral's name for it is "partial 16S ribosomal RNA". It matches the Rfam family "Bacterial small subunit ribosomal RNA", at positions 524 to 776 of the family's 1533-position model. The record is from RNAcentral.
UACGUAGGGUGCAAGCGUUAAUCGGAAUUACUGGGCGUAAAGGGCGCGUAGGUGGUUUGUUAAGAUUGUUGUGAAAUCCCUGGGCUUAACCUAGGAACUGCAACGAUGACUGAUAAGCUUGAGUAUUGUAGAGGGUAGUGGAAUUUCCGGUGUAGCGGUGAAAUGCGUAGAGAUCGGAAGGAACACCAGUGGCGAAGGCGGCUACCUGGACAAAUACUGACACUGAGGCGCGAGAGCGUGGGGAGCAAACAGG